AGAGUUUGAUUAUGGCUCAGGAUGAACGCUGGCGGCGUGCUUAACACAUGCAAGUCGAACGGAGUUAGCUGUGGAGCGGAAGGGCUUGCCCGGAAGUGGAAUGGUUAAACUUAGUGGCGGACGGGUGAGUAACGCGUGGGUAACCUACCCCAUACAGGGGGAUAGCAGCUGGAAACGGCUGAUAAAACCGCAUAAAACGGCAGCAGGGCAUCCUGCAACCGUCAAAUAUUUAUAGGUAUGGGAUGGGCCCGCGUCUGAUUAGAUAGUUGGUGGGGUAACGGCCUACCAAGUCAGCGAUCAGUAGCCGGCCUGAGAGGGUGAACGGCCACAUUGGGACUGAGACACGGCCCAAACUCCUACGGGAGGCAGCAGUGGGGAAUAUUGGACAAUGGGGGGAACCCUGAUCCAGCGAACCGCCGCGUGAGUGAAGAAGUAUUUCGGUAUGUAAAGCUCUAUCAGCAGGGAAGAUGAUGACGGUACCUGACUAAGAAGCCCCGGCUAACUACGUGCCAGCAGCCGC
Molecule: ribosomal RNA, 520 nt
Filed under: uncultured bacterium
Lineage: Bacteria
Description: bacterial SSU rRNA
Rfam family: Bacterial small subunit ribosomal RNA
Source: RNAcentral